GGAGUGGGCCAGACAAUCGCGGGGGCGGAGACGCCCAUGAGGAAAGUCCGGGCUCCACAGGGCAGGAAGCAGGCUAACGGCCUGGCGGGGUGACCCGACGGAAAGCGCCGCAGAAAAGAAGACUCCCGCUGCCCGCCUCGGCGGGUGAGAGAAAAGCUGAAACGGUGGUGUAAGAGACCACCAGCGUCGUGGCAACACGGCGGCUUGGCAAGCCCCUUCCGGAGCAAACGCAAAUAGGAGCGCCAUGGUGUGGCCCGCACCGCGCUCGGGUUGCGCGCUAGAGGCCGUCGGUGACGGCGGUCGUAGAUAAAUGAUUGUCCACGACAGAACCCGGCUCACAGGCCCACUUCGCAU
RNAcentral lists this RNase P RNA (354 nucleotides) under Olsenella sp. oral taxon 809 str. F0356. RNAcentral describes it as "Bacterial RNase P class A". It matches the Rfam family "Bacterial RNase P class A". From Rfam's summary of the family: Ribonuclease P (RNase P) is a ubiquitous endoribonuclease, found in archaea, bacteria and eukarya as well as chloroplasts and mitochondria. Its best characterised activity is the generation of mature 5'-ends of tRNAs by cleaving the 5'-leader elements of precursor-tRNAs. The record is from Rfam by way of RNAcentral. Lineage: Bacteria; Bacillati; Actinomycetota; Coriobacteriia; Coriobacteriales; Atopobiaceae.